AUUGAACGCUGGCGGCAUGCCUUACACAUGCAAGUCGAACGGCAGCACGGGUGCUUGCACCUGGUGGCGAGUGGCGAACGGGUGAGUAAUACAUCGGAACAUGUCCUGUAGUGGGGGAUAGCCCGGCGAAAGCCGGAUUAAUACCGCAUACGAUCUACGGAUGAAAGCGGGGGACCUUCGGGCCUCGCGCUAUAGGGUUGGCCGAUGGCUGAUUAGCUAGUUGGUGGGGUAAAGGCCUACCAAGGCGACGAUCAGUAGCUGGUCUGAGAGGACGACCAGCCACACUGGGACUGAGACACGGCCCAGACUCCUACGGGAGGCAGCAGUGGGGAAUUUUGGACAAUGGGCGAAAGCCUGAUCCAGCAAUGCCGCGUGUGUGAAGAAGGCCUUCGGGUUGUAAAGCACUUUUGUCCGGAAAGAAAUCCUUGGCCCUAAUACGGUCGGGGGAUGACGGUACCGGAAGAAAAAGCACCGGCUAACUACGUG
RNAcentral lists this ribosomal RNA (486 nucleotides) under uncultured bacterium. RNAcentral describes it as "partial 16S ribosomal RNA". It matches the Rfam family "Bacterial small subunit ribosomal RNA", at positions 30 to 507 of the family's 1533-position model. The record is from RNAcentral.